AGUAAAAGUCGUAACAAGGUUUCCGUAGGUGAACCUGCGGAAGGAUCAUUACCGUUGGAGUCCGCUCCAAUCUGGGAUAGAACCCUUGCCUUUGAGUACCUUUUCGUUUCCUCGGUGGGCUCGCCCGCCGGUGGACAACCAUAAACUCUUUGUAAUAGCAGUAUCUUCUGAGAAAAACAAAUAGUCAAAACUUUCAACAACGGAUCUCUUGGUUCUGGCAUCGAUGAAGAACGCAGCGAAAUGCGAUAAGUAGUGUGAAUUGCAGAAUUCAGUGAAUCAUCGAAUCUUUGAACGCACAUUGCGCCCUUCGGUAUUCCGUUGGGCAUGCCUGUUCGAGCGUCAUUUAAGCAUUCAAGCUCAGCUUGGUGUUGGGUGCUUGUCCUCCCCCGCGGUGGACUCGCCUCAAAUGCAUUGGCGGCCGGUAUGUUGGCUUCGAGCGCAGUAGAAACGCGCCAGACGCCCUGACAUGCUGGUCCCCCACAAGACCACUCUUUAUAGCUUGACCUCGGAUCAGGUAGGGAUACCCGCUGAACUUAAGCAUAUCAAUAAGCGGAGGA
RNAcentral lists this ribosomal RNA (557 nucleotides) under uncultured fungus. Its description in RNAcentral is "eukaryotic LSU rRNA". The stretch from base 189 to 342 matches the Rfam family "5.8S ribosomal RNA". Lineage: Eukaryota; Fungi. The record is from RNAcentral.